RNAcentral lists this long non-coding RNA (4550 nucleotides) under Homo sapiens (human). Its description in RNAcentral is "PREDICTED lncRNA (TCONS_00152809)". The record is from RNAcentral. Lineage: Eukaryota; Metazoa; Chordata; Mammalia; Primates; Hominidae.
AUUUUUGAGACAGAGUCUCCCUCUUUAGCCCAGGCUGGAGUGCAGUGGCACAAUCUCUACUCAUGGCAACCUCCAUCUCCUGGGUUCAAGCAAUUCUUUUGCCUCAGCCUCCCGAGUAACUGGAUUACAGGCGCGCACCACCUUGCCCGGCUAAUGUUUGUAUUUUUAGUAGAGACAGGGUUUCACCAUGUUGGCCAGGCUGGUCUUGAACUACUGGCCUCAGGGAAUCCACCCUCCUCGGCCUUCCAAAGUACUAAAUUUAUAGUCAUGAGCCACUGCACCCCGCCAGUUUAACUUUUUUUUAAUUGGCUUAGUUGCCAAGAGAGGAAGUUGGGGAGGAUCCUGAGGAGUGUAUGUUUUGUCCUUGGAGAGAGAGCUCAUUGUCUUCAAGCAAAAGAGGGAGCACACUAGCCCUUAUUAGAGAAGAGAGGGGCACUUCUGUAGCCUUAGAAGGUUCUGGAAACCUGAGGAUUGAAGAUUUUUCAGGUGCAUCAACCCAGAUGGUUUCAUCCCAUGUGUCAGGGUUCCAUUUUUUCCCAAUCAGGGUCCUGACAACAGCACAGUAGACCUGCCUAGCUUGGGUCCUAACUUCUUUGGAGUUUUAUUCUCAUGACUAAGUCCUGGGCCUGGUCCUCAGCUUCCUCUCCUCAUUGGCUUGAGAACCUGAGAGUCUCAUAUUCUACGAGGGAGGCUUUCUGGCCCUCACACUGAGUUUUUGUUUGUUUUUGAGACAAGAUCUUGCUUUGUCACUAAGGCUGAGUGUGUAGUUGCACCCAGGCUGGGAGUGCAGUGGCACAGUAAGCUACUGUAACCUUGAACUCCUGGACCCAAAUUAUCCUCUGGCCUCAGCCUCUUGAGUAACAGAACAACAAAUGCAUGCCACUAUGCCCUGCUGAUUUUAAAUUUUUGUGGAGAUGGGCCUUGCUAUGUUGCCCAGGCUGGUCUUGAAUUCCUGGCCUCAAGCUAUCCUCCCUUUUCAGUCUUCUGAGGCACUGGAAUUACAGGCAUGAGCCACGGCUCUUGGUCCCACACUCAGCUUCUAAUUACCAACUAAUCACUCUCAUUCUUUUAUUUUGAGACAGGGUCUCAUUCUGUAGCUCAAGCUGGAGUACAGUAGUGCAAAUAUAGCUCACUGCAGCCUCAAACUCCUGGGGUCAGGUGAUCUUCUUGCCUCAGCUUCCCAAAUAGCUAGGACUACAGCCACAAGCUACUGGGCAUGGAUAAUUUUUUAAAUAUUUGUAGAGACAGGGUCUCGCUAUGUUGCCCAGGCUGGUCUCAAACUCCUGGCUCAGCCUCCCAAAGUGCUGGGAUUACAAGUGUGAGCCACUAUGCCUGGCCCAUUCUCAUUCUUCUGUUAUCUUUUUCCAAGGUAUCGGUCUAGCUCAGUAAUAACUCUUCAGUUCCACUGUCUACACUGUUUCCCACCUGAUCUUCGUGCCUGCCGGUGCAUUUCUUUGUGUUGACAUGCCAUCUCAGUUCACCACUAGUCAAAGUUUUAAUAACUGCACUGUCAGGGUGUGCUAGCAGUUAACUUCUCCCUGCCCCAGUGAGGAGACUCUCAUCCUAUAAGUGAGAAGGCAAGAGAAAUGGCUCCAAAAGCACACUGGAGCACCUACUUUCCUGCAACCCUUCUGAUACCAAGUAUCACAGAUGCUGAGAUGAAGAUUAGUGGGUAGGAGAUUUGGAUUGCCACCUGUGGAAAGAAAGGAAACUCCACUGGGUGGAGGAAGAAUAUGGACUAUGAUGCAAUCUCAAAGGUGGCCUUAGCUGACACUAAGGGGAACUCUGAAGCUAGGAUGGUCUUUCAGAUUGUUCUAAUAUGGGGCAAUGGGACUAGUCUUUGCAUGCAGCCUGGCCCAAGAAGGAAGUGUGACUUCAGAUGAGGUGGCUCUUUUCACUUAAGAGGGCAAUUCUACUGACAGCUGAGGGCCGUUGGGUGCACACUGCCAGAGCGAGAAAACAAAAUCCUCUGUAGGGAAGGGGACUGUGUGGCAUAUCACAGCACACCCCGAGAACAAGGGAGCGGCUCUUCAUCAAAUAACACAAUAUGGGCCCACAUAUUCCCAGAGGCUGCUAUAGUGCUGGGCACAUUAGUGCUCAAUAACUUAUUGAAUUAGUAUUAUCAUAUUGUGCUAUUGCCAUCCUCAUCUUUUAAAGUCACUUAUCACUUAAUGGAUGUUCUUGUUAGAACUGACACUAUGAAGAUGACUAUGACACAAUUACCUGUUGAGCCUAUUUGAGAAAUUAACCUAUAUUUAACAAGUUUGACUAAUUAGAUUGGUUAAGAGCCUUAGCAGAGGGCUAAACAAAAUGGUGUUAAAGAAUACACCUGAUGGUCCAAGAAAAUCCCUAACUCCCUAGAAGGUCUGGAUAGUCUGAGAAGUGACAUUCGAACAGUGUAAUGCACUUUCCUCCAGAGCCAGAAGCAGGGAAAGCAGAGGCAGCAGCAAUUUUAUCUUCUGGGCACCUUAUCCUCAGACCUCAUUUUAUCAAUACAUACGGACUGUCUACAACCACGUAAUAUCCUUUUCAUCAGCCUUAUGAAAUUUUCCCCCAAUUUAUCCAAGUCAGGAUUUCAGUAUGCAGAAGUCUAAUGUCAUCUUGGAGAGUUCAUUGUGCCUCCCCCAUAUCCAAGACCAUUUACUAAAACCUUAGUUCAGUCUUUAAAGAGUCACAAGAUCCUAUUAUGCCUAGUUUUUUUUCCAGUCUUUUAAGUCUAUUCCUUACCUUGCCAAAAAAGUACCUGUUUCUAUGGUUUAACAAAUGGAGCUUAGAAUAUGGAACUAUGGUAAGUGCUCUUUAGAAUUUAAAAUAAGUUACAUGUACUGGUUUUCCUUUAUUUUGUAGUUUUGUUCUCAAAGAAUUCCAGAUAUGAUUUUUUUCCAGACAAAAAUACCUGCUACAUGCUUCCUUCUGUAUGAAUACAUGAGACCUACCUUCAUUCAUGUUUCCUCUAUGAAGCUUUCCCUGCACUCCAAACACAGAGCUGAGACUUCCACCUAAUGUAGAAAGCUAGCACGAGCCGGCGCUGACAGAUGGAAGACUUGAGAUGUUACAAGAUUAUAUAUGGAAACACAAAAGGAGUGGAGUUGCUGGGUCAUAUGGCAAUUCAUUUGAGGAACUGAGAAGCUUAUUCCAUGGAGGCUGAACUGUUUUAUAUUCCCACCAGCAACGUGUAAGGUUCCAGUUUAUCUACAUCAUCACCAACACUUGCUAUUUUCCAUUUCAUUAAUGAUAGCCAUCCUAGUGGAUUUGAAGUGGUACCUUAUUAUCGUGGUUUUGAUUGCAUUCUCUAUUGACUAAUGAUAUCGAGCAUCUUUUCAUGUAUUUUUUGGUCAUUUGGUCAUUUUUCUUUUUUAAUUUUAAAAUUUUGAGACAGGCUCUCACUAUGUUGCCCAGGUGGUCUCAAACUCCUGGGUUCCAGCGAUGCUCAUGCCUCAGUCUCCCAAAGGGGUGGGAUUACAGGUGUGAGCCACUUUGCCCAGCCCAUUUGUAUAUCUCCUUUGGAGAAUAUCUAGGUUCUUUUGAAGGUAGCUGCAUAUAAACUAGCCAAAUUAACAGACUGUGGUUUUUAGAUGGCUUUCCAUAUCUACAAGAACUAUUUAGUUCUCAAAACUGGGAAGAAAUGUUUCAGAGGCAUCAUUAAUUCAUAAUCUAAAAAUUUAUCUUGGGUUUCCUUUUUUCCCCCAGAUUCUGUAUCCUCCAUAGUCCUAUUCAUGACAUGGGUCGUUCAUCUCUGUAUUCUAAACCCUCAAUGAACUGUAGACAGUAAUAAAUAUUUAUUGGAUGAAUGGUCUCUCAUCAGCCACCUUUUCUUUUUUUUUUUUUGAGACAGAGUCUCACUCUGUCACUCAGGCUGGAGUGCAGUGGCGCGAUCUCGGUUCACUGCAACCUCUGCCUCCCGGGUUCAAGUGAUUCUCCCACCUGAGCCUCCCGAGUAGCUGGGAUUACAGGUGCACGCCACCUUGUCUGGCUAAUUUUUGUAUUUUUAGUAGAGACAGGGUUUCACCGUGUUGGUCAGGCUGGUCUCAAACGCCUGACCUCAGGUGAUCUGCCCGACUUGGCCUCCCAAAGUGCUGGGAUUACAGGUGUGAGCCACCGCACCUGGCCUCCAGCCUCUUUUCUUUUUUUUUUUUGAGACAAGUCUAACUCUGUCACCCAGGCUGGAGAGCAGCGGCAUGAUCAUGGCUCACUGCUGCCUCAACCUCAGAGGCUCAAGUCAUUGUCCCCACCUCAGCCUCCCUAGUAGACUGGACUACAGGCAUGUGCCACCACACCCAGCUAAUUUUUCAUCAGCCACCUUUUCUAACCAUCUGUCUGCACUGACUUCCCAGGUUCUGCAUCAUUAUUGGUUUACUGAGACAAUGCACUUCACCCGUCCUUCAAUCCCAAAGUAGCACAGAAUAUCAGGAGUUCUUUGAGCCCCUAAGUGCCCUACUUUCCCAGGGUCAGGGGACCCUGACAAGCAAGGUCCCCACAUCUUUCUGUGGUUGGAUAGGGAUAUAAAAUUUCUCACACAUGUUAAAUCAAGAUACUUUGGCCAGGCACGG